Zea mays is the source of this 313-nucleotide long non-coding RNA. RefSeq lists it as uncharacterized. The transcript has 3 exons. NCBI's taxonomy places the organism in Eukaryota, Viridiplantae, Streptophyta, Magnoliopsida, Poales, Poaceae. The record is from RefSeq and is a predicted model, not a curated record.
GGAGGGUCGCCAAGGUCGGCAAGGGACUCUCCAAGGACGACAAGGCGCAGAAGCUCGCGCUCCAGCACUGGCUCGAAGCUAUUGACCCGCGCCACCGCUACGGCCACAACCUGCAUCUCUACUACGACAUCUAGUGCGCGAACUCCAGCUGCGAGCCCUUCUUCUACUGGUUGGAUGUCGGCAAAGGCAGAUACUUGCAUCACCAGAAAUGCCCACGAAGCAAGCUCAACUCACAGCUCAUCAUGUACCUCGGACCAAACGAGAGGGCGGCGUACGAAGUCGUCGUAGAGGAAGGCCGGCUGAUGUACAAGCA